Molecule: long non-coding RNA, 5447 nt
Organism: Homo sapiens (human)
Lineage: Eukaryota; Metazoa; Chordata; Mammalia; Primates; Hominidae
Exons: 2
Source: RefSeq, a predicted model, not a curated record
CCAAGCAGGAGGCUGAUUCUGGCUAGUGUAUCUCCAGGGAAGCAAUACCAGAGAAUCCUUCCCUAGUCUGAAAGGCCCUUUGAGGACCAGCAGGAAAAAGGGACCCAUCGAAGUAACACUGAAAUCCGAGGGAAUGAUUUUCAGGGCACAAAAGUAGGGUGGGACACAAGACUGGCAUUCCAGACACAGCCCAUCGGGCCAGGCUUUGGACAAGGAGAUGGAUUUCAUCUGAUUUCCCUUGACGGACGAGUUGUGUUCAGCAAACAGCCUGGUAUGCAGCUGUCACUCUGAUGCUGAGCUCUGACAGGCAUCGAUCAGGCUGCGGUGUGAGCAUGCAGAUACACACACAGGCCUCGUCAACAUCCGUGACUUGGAAGACAGCUCUGUCUGGGGCCAGGAUGACUACACCCCUUUCAGCAGAUGCUGCUAGGAGGAGAUUGCACCAAUGGGGAAAAGGAGACAGGAUGGAGCUUCUUCCAAAUACCCUUUCCUGGGCGGGAAGACAAGCUGUGGCAAUGAAGUGGAGUCACAAACGGGAGGAGAGACAGAUCCAACCUUGAUGGACAAGCUGCCAGAAUGGGAGCUUGUCCAGACAGCUGAGAUGGGCAUUAGGCUAAAGCUGGGGCACUGAGCUAGAGCUGGACAUAAAUGGCCUGUAAUCCCUAAGUCCAGGCAGAAGAAAUGGACCACUGGCAGCCCCAGCCUUCCGUCCUGCCUGGCAGCUCCUCUGGGCCUGAUGUUGCCCUCAGAAAGCCCUAGUGAGUUCCAGAGCACUCCAACUGAACUGAAGGUCAUCUGUCCCAAUGCUUCCUCCCCAAAGCAAAUGUCAUCCUUACACCUCUGAUAUCGGUGUCUAUCAACUUCGAUCUCCUUCAAAGAAGCCCAUUUCACUGUUAGAAAAGUCCUCUUUCAAGUGAAUGCCCUCUAACUUGAACUUCUUCCUACUGGUCUUAGUUUUGUACUCUGGAGCAAUUGGAAACACAUCUGAUCCAUUUUUUUUAUUUACCAGUGGAUGACUUUUAGAAAGUUCUCUGAACCCAAGUAUCACUUAGCUCAGAGGACUGGCUACCUUGAGGACUAAACGAGAGAAGCUCCGUCAAAGGAUGGGCACAGCACUUAGCAACAGUAAGUACACAAGUGUUCGUUCCUUGCCUCCUUCCACAUGACAACCAUUGGUAUUAUCAGUGUUUGUCCUUUCUUUCCAUCCCGAGUGAAUUCCAUUACCUGGACCUGGAUCCCAUAUUCUACACCACCCAGGUCCCUUCCUAGGAAUGCCCCUCCAUUUAUCAGGAUCCCUCUAAAAACACACUGCUUAGAACUGAACACAGUAUCUCAGAUGCUGUUUAGGCAGUGCAGAAUAAUUACCUCCUUUGAUCUAUAUGAUUUCUCUAUGAAUGCAAUUUUUAUCAGUCACUUCACACUGUUAGCUACAGUUGGUGGUAAAUAAAACCCUGUGGGGUAAUUUUCAUGUAAAUUGCUGUCAAGCUAGGUCACCUUCAUCUUGUAAUGGUGUAACUGAUUUUUGAACUUAAACAUGGGACUUGUGGCCAUCUCACAUUGGAAGCUGCAGCCCAUCUCUCUCUCUCUCAUACUUACAGGAGAUAUUGAACUUUGAUUUUUCUGUUCUAACAGUAAAAAGUCUUGUUCAUCUCAAAUGUCUUUCCUGGGCCUCUGCCUUUGUCUUCGGGAGGGUGGACUCAGGGGCAGAAACAUGAACUUGCACAGUGGCUCCAAGAUACCCCAUGGGAAGGAUUUGGUGACACUGUCCAGGAGGAAAACUCCUGCACUGGGAAGCUGUGGGAAGCUCUGGAAGCAAGCACACAGGGCAGAACCAGAGAAGGAGCAGUCAGCACUCCACCCUCUGGAAAGCCUGAGCCCCCUCCUUCCCAGUUACUGGAUCUGAGGCUUUCACUCAAGCAAGUGAAGCUACUGCCACUCGCAUGGGCCCAGCGGUGGAUUUGGUGGAGUCUACGGUCAAAAUGGAGACGACACAGAAAAGAGCUCAGAGGCAUCUAGGAAAUGAUGCUCUUUCUCAGCUCAGGAGGACUGACUUAGCCCUGCUGCCUCCCAGAGCCCUUCAUCACGGCAGCUCUGCCUAUCUUCUUGGAUUAACAAUGGUUCUGUCAAAUAAGUAUGGAAUGUUUCUGGAAAAGGCUGGCUGGGUCAUAGGUAGAUGGUUGUGGGAAUGCAGAGAACAGAGAUUUGAUUUGCAGGUGACAUGAUAAAUGGAAGAGAGAUUUGGGCCCUAAGACUGGGGGAAGAGAUGGAAGACCAAAAAAAUCAGCCAGAAACUUGAGGCUAAAGAGAGCUUUUCUCAAGUAUUGCUCCAAUGGCAAAAUUGCUGGGGAUCUGAGGGACAUGUGGAACUCAUUUGGGGUCUAGCUCCCAGAUUUUAUACCAGCAAUAAGGUCGAUAACUAAUGAAGUCCUUGCUACAGUGCAGUAACUGAACUGCUCACGUCAGUGAAGCUAAACUUGCAGAGGCUUUCUUUUCUCAGUAUCAGACUCAAUGCUGUGAGGAUAAGUUAUCUGGGGAAAAGAGGUAAGGAGAAGAACAAUGAGGUAUGGGAUUUCUACUGUACUUUUUUCUGUAGGACCUGCUGGAUCCUUCUGCCUCAAUUUGUCUGCAAAUGACAUAAACAUGCAUUAAAGAUGGCCAGAAAACAGUGACUUUUGCAAAUGCCUCCAUAGAGGCGUUCAAACAGAAAAACCAUCCACAUGCUAAAAAGAGGGAGGUGAGAAAGAAGAGGGAGAACUGGGUAAAUUAAGUGCUCCAUAUCUUGUCCUGUUAACGUCUCCUUUACACACACAUACAUGUAAGCGAGUGCUUGCAUGUCUGGUUCAGUCUUCUUACGAAAACCCAGUGGAAACAACCAUGCAGUCUCUGAGGCUACCUGCCUUAGACAGAGAAUGUCACUGAGGUCACUUCUGUUUUUAUUCAGAAUGCAGUGCUCUCUGAGAACCCUUUCCUUUGUGGGCGUUUACCCCAGCCUCCCCAAUUCCAGCCAAGCUUUCACUUGAUGAUUCUAAGACAUUAGCUCAGAAUCUCUUUUACCUUCACACUGCCCCAGAGAUCCACUGUACCCUGGACCUCAUCAUUCUAUCCUCUCCUGCAUACGUUGCUGGGACACUCUAGCCAAUUUCUUCCCAUAAUUCUUCAUAAUAUUAUCAUCCCCAUUUUAUGGAUGAGGACCCUGAAGGUUAAAGGAUUAAGUGGUUUAGGUCUAAGGCCAUGCAGCUGGUAAGUGACAGGGCCAGAAUUCAAACACAGGUCUCUGAUUCCAAGGUCCACGCUGCUGACCAUAAUGCCAUCCUGCUGCACUGACACUUCACUAGACUUGAAGCUCCUCAAGCCUUCUGGUCUUAUCAAUGACAGGUGGUGCUUGGGGAGGUGAGUGCUCUUAGAACUAUGAUGGACUUGAGAGGAAAGGAAAGGAAGAGGGGGAACUGGUGGGCUUCAUGUCAGAAUGGCACCUGAAGAGGAAACUGUCCUUGUCGGGAGGCCUUGGAGGGAUGGAGUGGGGGCAGUUUCGGGGAAAGAGCAGUUAAGAGAGGAGAGGACAGGAAGGAGAGGGGCUGGGAGAUAACAACAUGGUGGAGCAGGGACUUGUUUCUUUUAACCAGAAGACAGAAAAUCUUCUGGGGCACUUGACAGAGUGGAUCAAGUCCCCCAGACUUGACUUCAUCAAUUGUGGAGCCUUCCACGGUGUUAUAAAAUUCAGGCUGAGUUGGGAAGAGAAGAGUGAAAAAAUCUGCAGGUUGAAAUCAUGCUGGUUUUGCUCCAGUAAGGGUAGCAUGAGGGGUUAGAGGGAACACUGCAAAAGGAGCAGACCUUGAAGGGGAAAGGUUCUGGCCCCAUUUCUACCUUGAGAUGACUGUGGGGCCAAAAUAGCCAAGGCUGCUUAGAAGGAGCUCCAAAAGGCUCUGUAAUGCUGCUAACAGUCCUGCUCUUUUGGAGACAGGAAGACAGAUCAGACAAACACCCGUGUGAACAGCUGGAAGAAGGAGCUGUAAACCAGAGGGACCAUUCUCUCUCUACUCACUGAAAGUGCACUGCAGAAGAGCCAGUGGGGUAGAGAAGACACAUGGGGGAGUGAUGAAUAUUUUAUUUGGAGAACUGAGGAUCUCUUACAGCAGCAGGGAUGAUACACAUAUACCCUGCAUCACUUGAGAGCUCCCUGUGGCCCCUUUUCUAAUAGCUUUCUGCCGUCUCGCCCUCCAAAACAAAAACUGGUCCCAGCAGCACUCUCCACAGCCACUGCAGCUGGACAGGCCACCACUGAGAAGCUGUUUUCAGGGGUAACACCUUCCCUCUCUCCCGUCCCAAGGCUGUUACCAAACAGGCUGCGUGUUUUUCCCAGUUCAUCCCACUCUUUCCAAUCAGUGCUAAUUGAACCACUUAACUCAAAGACAGUAACAUUUGUCGUUUCAAACCAUUAAGAAAAGUGACUAAAUUGAGGCGUCAUACAUGAGGCCUGCUCUGGCAUCACAGCACACUCACAUGCAAACAUGCCCACAAAUGCCCACAAGGCACACUCAAUGUGUAAACAUGCACAACUAACAGAGCUUAAGGAGAAAGUCUGCAAAGCGUAGUCAGCAAAUGUCAGCCUGUCUUUCUCAACAAGUUUUCCUGAAUUGGAAAAAAAAAAAAAAAAGAAAAAAAAUCACUGCCAGUUCCAAUUCGGAGCCUGGAAAUUGAGGCUGUGGUCUCAGGGUCUCCCAGAGCUUCUGCCUCUUGCAUUCUCUGAAGUCCAGAUAAGAACAAGGAAGAAGACAGUCGGGUGCGGUGGCUCAUGCCUGUAAUCCCAGCACUUUGGGAGGCUAAGACGGGUGGAUCACGAGGUCAGGAGAUCGAGACCAGCCUGGCCAACAUGGUGAAACCCUGUCUCUACCAAAAAUACAAAAAUUAGCCGGGCAUGAUGGUGGGCGCCUGUAGUCCCAGCUACUCGGGAGGCUGAGGCAGGAGAAUUGUUUGAACCCGGGAGGCCGAGGUUGCAGUGAGCCGAGAUCACACCAUUGCACUCUAGCCUGGGCAAUAAGAGCGAAAUUUCGUCUCAAAAAAAAAAAAAGAUGCAGGUUCAUAAACAAUAAGUCAUACAAAACUCAUUUCCUUUGUAGGUGGGUCACUAGUCUGUAAAACAAGGAGUCUAUCUUAAACCUGCCCAGGGACUGAAUUAUUUUAGCUGGGUCAAUGACGGGGCACAAAAUGGAAACCACAAACUAAGUUAUACCCUUUUCAAAGAUCUCUCAACUCUGAUUAUGUCUUAGUUUGCCGCUAAUCUGUCUUUAGUAUCUCUUUCACAAAAGAGGAGCAGAGCCUUACAGGCAAAUAGGAUUUAGCCAGAAUUCACCAACACUGUUCUGUAUUCUAUGUGUUUAUUUUUAAGAUUUCCUUUCAUUUAUGGUAAGUGGUAUUUUUCCAUUUAAUAAAGCUUCCUUUAAAAAAGA